RNAcentral lists this ribosomal RNA (497 nucleotides) under uncultured bacterium. Its description in RNAcentral is "partial 16S ribosomal RNA". It matches the Rfam family "Bacterial small subunit ribosomal RNA", at positions 28 to 507 of the family's 1533-position model. The record is from RNAcentral.
GAUGAACGCUGGCGGCGUGCCUAAUACAUGCAAGUCGAGCGAACGGACGAGAAGCCUGCUUUUCUGAUGUUAGCGGCGGACGGGUGAGUAACACGUGGAUAACCUACCUAUAAGACUGGGAUAACUUCGGGAAACCGGAGCUAAUACCGGAUAAUAUUUUGAACCGCAUGGUUCAAAAGUGAAAGACGGUCUUGCUGUCACUUAUAGAUGGAUCCGCGCUGCAUUAGCUAGUUGGUAAGGUAACGGCUUACCAAGGCAACGAUGCAUAGCCGACCUGAGAGGGUGAUCGGCCACACUGGAACUGAGACACGGUCCAGACUCCUACGGGAGGCAGCAGUAGGGAAUCUUCCGCAAUGGGCGAAAGCCUGACGGAGCAACGCCGCGUGAGUGAUGAAGGUCUUCGGAUCGUAAAACUCUGUUAUUAGGGAAGAACAUAUGUGUAAGUAACUGUGCACAUCUUGACGGUACCUAAUCAGGAAGCCACGGCUAACUACGUG